This is a long non-coding RNA of Oncorhynchus masou masou (cherry salmon), 1323 nucleotides long. RefSeq lists it as uncharacterized. NCBI's taxonomy places the organism in Eukaryota, Metazoa, Chordata, Actinopteri, Salmoniformes, Salmonidae. The record is from RefSeq and is a predicted model, not a curated record. The transcript is spliced from 4 exons.
GGUAGCCAUUUGAUUAGCUGUUCAGGAGUCUUAUGGCUUGGGGGUAGAAGCUGUUUAGAAGCCAUCACCAUGGAAACAGUGUGUUGUGAGCCAAUGGGGGAAGUGGGAGUCCCAGACCAGAGUGGGAAAGUUGUUCGGAGGGAAUAUUUUGGUACCAUCAGCAGUUUUCCUUACUGGCUGCUCCCACCGCACAUUUGUGGAAAUUUGUCACCUCCUCAGCCUGGUGUCCAUGUCGUGGUGACAGUUCGCCACUGUGUCUCCUUCAGCUCUUACACCAUCCUGGACUGCUUUUCACCUGAUCCUCACCCAGGAGACAGUGCAUGGGACCGAUGUGAAGAACAGCUACUGGUUGAGGACAGAGGGUUUAGAGAGAUGCCUGCAACAUAUUGAGGCCCAUGGAUGUGUAACGGAUGUGAAACGGCUAGCUUAGUUAGCGGUGCGCGCUGAAUAACGUUUCAAUCAGUGACGUCACUUGCUCUGAGACCUUGAAGUAGUAGUUCCCCUUGCUCUGCGGCUGUUGUGGAGCGAUGGGUUGUGGAGCGAUGGGUAACGAUGCUUCGAGGGUGACUGUUGUUGUGUGCAGAGGGUCCCCAGUUCGCGUCCGGGUAUGGGCGAGGGGACGGUCUAAAAUUUUACUGUUACAGAUGCAUAGUCGAAACUCUGACCACCGACAGGCAUCCAAGUGUGAGGGUGUUCUUGAGGGACUCCAAUCCUCAUAUCUGGCAUGAGUACGACCUGUGGCACAAUGCCAAAGGUGUGAGGAAACAGCUGUUGGCCAUCGCAAAGCCAGAGGUACUGCAAUGGGUGAGGGCAAUCGCACACCACUUGGGAUACUGUGCCAAGAGUCCAGCUGGUGAAGGAAAAAGGGAUCACUGCAGUUCACCACAUCACAAAUGAGCACCCGCAACAGACCUCUCCCCCUACACACCUGAAGAGGAAGAAACAGGACCCUGGCUGAUCACAGCAUCAACAGCUUUUGAGAAAGUGAACAUGAGUGUUCAUCCCCUGUACACUAAAUAAGUGCCCAAGAGGAACAAGUUUGACCAGCAAUGGGAUGGUUGCAAGACUCCAAGGGGCUGCCUUGGACCACAAUCAUUCAGGGGAAAGACAUCAGGCUACAACAAAGGAGGGAGUGCUCAGAUUCAAACAAUAAUUCUUCAAGACUCCAAGGGGCUGCCUUGGACCACAACCAUUCGGGGGAAAGACAUCAGGCUACAACAAAGGAGGGAGUGCUCAGAUUCAAACAAUAAUUCUUCAAGACUCCAAGGGGCUGCCUUGGACCACAAUCAUUCAGGGGAAAGACAUCAGGCUACAACAAAGGAG